RNAcentral lists this ribosomal RNA (451 nucleotides) under uncultured bacterium. Its description in RNAcentral is "bacterial SSU rRNA". It matches the Rfam family "Bacterial small subunit ribosomal RNA", at positions 329 to 794 of the family's 1533-position model. The record is from RNAcentral.
UUCCAGACUCCUACGGGAGGCAGCAGUGGGGAAUAUUGGGCAAUGGGCGCAAGCCUGACCCAGCAACGCCGCGUGAAGGAAGAAGGCUUUCGGGUUGUAAACUUCUUUUCUCAGGGACGAAGCAAGUGACGGUACCUGAGGAAUAAGCCACGGCUAACUACGUGCCAGCAGCCGCGGUAAUACGUAGGUGGCAAGCGUUAUCCGGAUUUAUUGGGUGUAAAGGGUGCGUAGACGGAGAAGCAAGUUAGUUGUGAAAUCCCUCGGCUUAACUGAGGAACUGCAACUAAAACUACUUCCCUUGAGUACUGGAGAGGAAAGUGGAAUUCCUAGUGUAGCGGUGAAAUGCGUAGAUAUUAGGAGGAACACCAGUGGCGAAGGCGACUUUCUGGACAGUAACUGACGUUGAGGCACGAAAGUGUGGGGAGCAAACAGGAUUAGAUACCCUAGUACU